Molecule: ribosomal RNA, 253 nt
Filed under: uncultured bacterium
Lineage: Bacteria
Description: partial 16S ribosomal RNA
Rfam family: Bacterial small subunit ribosomal RNA
Source: RNAcentral
UACAGAGGGUGCAAGCGUUAAUCGGAAUUACUGGGCGUAAAGCGCGCGUAGGCGGUUUGAUAAGUCGGAUGUGAAAGCCCCGGGCUCAACCUGGGAAUUGCAUUCGAUACUGUCAGACUAGAGUAUGGUAGAGGUAAGUGGAAUUCCAGGUGUAGCGGUGAAAUGCGUAGAUAUCUGGAGGAACAUCAGUGGCGAAGGCGACUUACUGGACCAAUACUGACGAUGAGGUGCGAAAGCGUGGGGAGCAAACAGG